GGCAAAUUUAGCCAAAGGUUUGUAAUUCAUAUUUAAAUUCACUUCAAUUUGGAGUUUAGUGAAUAAACCAGUGAAAUCAUAAGGGAAAUAUAGCAUUUUUUACUCAUUCCCGAAAGUUGUCUGUUUAGCAAAUAACCCUGAGAGUUAUGAGAACUACAUAAUGCAUACAACUCACUAUGUCAACUGUAUUCAGCUCUCUUUUACAUACUAUGUAGAGCUCUUUAAAUUUUACAUAUAUACCAAAAGAUUCACAUUAUGUGCUACAUGCUCCAUAUAAAUAUUAGAGGUUUUCCAGAGAUCAAGUGCAUUGGGAAUGUUGUUUCCUGACUAUAUUUGGAGAGGGAACUUGCCUAUGUAAACUUUUUUCCCUGCUUUCAGGUAGUAUGGCAUUGCUGCGACUACUAGGGGAAUUAGUGCUUCUCUGGAGGUCCAGUGGUUGCUGGUGGAGGUGUGUGUGUUCUUUGGUGCACACACCUCAAGUAGAAUAGUGGAUCCACUCAUUGUGGACCUGUAGCCUAUGCACUCUGUUUGAGACAGACAUAAAGCAUAUGUAACAUACAAAAUUUAAAACGUAUCCACAAUUUGUGAUGAAACCAUUUAAUUUCCUUUUUCCUAUUUUCAGUUCAUGUGUUCGGGUCUGUGCAACCACCUCUACUGGACUCAUGGAAAGUGACAUAUUUUGCAAAGACCCCCGGUGAUGACAUUGCCACUUGGGGUGCUGUGGCCUGAGCAUACAGUGAAGAUGAGUUAUACUUGCCUGAUGCUGUGCCCCAUGGCUCCAGAAAUCUUUGAUCUUGAGCUCCGGUGCUUCAUUUUCCAGGAGCCCACUUCUGAGCUAUACUCUCGCACAUGCUCGAGAGUACAACUAUAGUGCCUAUGGUGAUCAUGCGGAAGCCUCCAUAGAUACAGGUAUUCUGUGGCAAAGAGAAGAAAAGGCCGUACUCCUAGCAACAGCUGGAGGAAGAAAAAAAUCAUUUGACGGCGGUAGCUCCAUCUUUUUGUUACAUUUUUGUCAAGUUAUGGAUUUACCAUAAGACAAGGUAGACCAUACUAUGUUUUAAGACAUUGUUCGUCUUCCUUAGAAUUUCAAUGAAAUUCCAGCACACUCCGUGUAAG
This is a non-coding RNA of Pelobates cultripes (western spadefoot toad), 1116 nucleotides long. Lineage: Eukaryota; Metazoa; Chordata; Amphibia; Anura; Pelobatidae. The record is from the annotation of a GenBank genome assembly.